Salvelinus sp. IW2-2015 is the source of this 1158-nucleotide non-coding RNA. NCBI's taxonomy places the organism in Eukaryota, Metazoa, Chordata, Actinopteri, Salmoniformes, Salmonidae. The record is from RefSeq and is a predicted model, not a curated record.
UGUAGAUUUGGCCUUGUGUUGUAGGUUAUUGUCCUGCUGAAAGGUGAACUCCUCUCCCAGUGUCUGGUGUAAAGCUCCAUCCUAUUUCUUUGGUGUAAAGCUCCCCAGUAUUUGCCGAUGUCAAGCAUACCCAUACUAUGAUGCAACCACCACUUUGCUUGAAAAUAAGGAGGCAGUUACUCAGUGAUAUGUUGUGUUGGAUUUGCUCCAAGCAUAAAAAAUUACAGGAAAGACUGUUGUUUAAUGCGAGAGCCAAAAGUAGUGGUGUACACCCAGCUUUAUCAACAGCUGUAACAAGUUGUCCAGUGUAAGAAAUCCUCACUGGUACCCUAGAUUAUAGAAAGACCCAAUUGAUGUUCAGGGUGGAUCCUCUGUCUUCAAAAAGUUAUGUUGUAAAUACUACAUUUUCACUCCAUGUCCAUUCUAGACCCACGUCACCAGUCCUCAUCUCUACCACCGUAUCUCUCUAAACCCCAGAAGUAGAGGGUCACUUGGGCAGGAAGUCGUCCACCUCCAGGUUGCCCACGUACCAGAAGAUAAGGCUGAGAAAGAUGAUGAUGGGUCUGGAGAAGACCAAGAGGUCCCAGAACCUGAAGGGAGCAAAGAUGCCCAGGAAGAAAAGGAUGAGGCCUGUAGCGUCCAGGAAGAUGGCUACGAAGAAGAAGAGAAGGCAGCGGCCCAGCUGAGUGUCGGUACAGGUGCUGAGUGUCGGUACAGGUGCUGAGUGUCGGUACAAGGUGCUGAGUGUCGGUACAGGUACAAGUGCUGAGUGUCGGUACAGGUACAAGGUGGCUGAGUAUCGGUCCAGGUGCUGAGUAUAGGUACAGGUGCUGAGUAUGAGUACAGGUGCUGAGUAUAGGUACAGGUGCUGAGUGUAGGUACAGGUACAGGUGCUGAGUAUCGGUCCAGGUGCUGAGUGUAGGUACAGGUGCUGAGUAUAGGUACAGGUGCUGAGUAUAGGUACAGGUGCUGAGUAUAGUUACAGGUGCUGAGUAUCGGUCACAGGUGCUGAAGUAUCGGUCCAGGUGCUGAGUAUCGGUCCAGGUGCUGAGUAUCGGUUCAGGUGCUGAGUAUAGGUACAGAUGCUGAGUAUAGGUACAGGUGCUGAGUAUAGGUACAGGUGCUGAGUAUAGGUACAGGUGCUGAGUGUAGGUACAG